RNAcentral lists this ribosomal RNA (478 nucleotides) under uncultured bacterium. RNAcentral describes it as "partial 16S ribosomal RNA". It matches the Rfam family "Bacterial small subunit ribosomal RNA", at positions 28 to 523 of the family's 1533-position model. The record is from RNAcentral.
GACGAACGCUGGCGGCGUGCUUAACACAUGCAAGUCGAACGGUAAGGCCCUUUGGGGUACACGAGUGGCGAACGGGUGAGUAACACGUGGGUGAUCUGCCCUGCACUUCGGGAUAGGCCUGGGAAACUGGGUCUAAUACCGGAUAGGACUCCGGACUGCAUGGUCUGGGGUGGAAAGCUUUUGCGGUGUGGGAUGGGCCCGCGGCCUAUCAGCUUGUUGGUGGGGUGAUGGCCUACCAAGGCGACGACGGGUAGCCGGCCUGAGAGGGUGACCGGCCACACUGGGACUGAGAUACGGCCCAGACUCCUACGGGAGGCAGCAGUGGGGAAUAUUGCACAAUGGGCGCAAGCCUGAUGCAGCGACGCCGCGUGAGGGAUGACGGCCUUCGGGUUGUAAACCUCUUUCAGCAUCGACGAAGCGAAAGUGACGGUAGGUGCAGAAGAAGGACCGGCCAACUACGUGCCAGCCGCCGCGGUAA